Molecule: ribosomal RNA, 425 nt
Filed under: uncultured bacterium
Lineage: Bacteria
Description: bacterial SSU rRNA
Rfam family: Bacterial small subunit ribosomal RNA
Source: RNAcentral
GGGCCCGCACAAGCGGUGGAGCAUGUGGUUUAAUUCGAUGAUACGCGAGGAACCUUACCAGGGGCUUAAAUGUAAGUUGCAUGGAUCAGAGAUGAUCCUUUCUUCGGACUACUUACAAGGUGCUGCAUGGUUGUCGUCAGCUCGUGCCGUGAGGUGUCAGGUUAAGUCCUAUAACGAGCGCAACCCCUAUCGUUAGUUGCCAGCAAGUAAAGUUGGGUACUCUAGCGAGACUGCCGGUGCAAACCGAGAGGAAGGUGGGGAUGACGUCAAAUCAUCACGGCCCUUACGUCCUGGGCUACACACGUGCUACAAUGGCCGGUACAGAGAGCAGCCACCACGCGAGUGGGAGCGAAUCUUCAAAACCGGUCUCAGUUCGGAUCGCAGUCUGCAACUCGACUGCGUGAAGCUGGAAUCGCUAGUAAUCG